GAAACCUAAGAAAUAAAUAAAGUCAUAGGCUACUGUAGGCUAAUCAGAAUAAAAUUAUCAUAUAAUCUCUGUGACUUUAUUAACAAAAGAAUGUUACAAUUAUACUAUGUUGUUGAGUGCAUUGUGUGUGUCUAACUAAAACUUUUUUUUACAGAUACAGCAUCAUUUCAUCGUCUAUAUGGUGGGACAACCUGCUAGACAGGUUGAAGACAUCUGUAUCUACCUCAAAGAAGGCAUGGAGAGACACAUUAAAGAAUAUGUGAAUUGUGAAAUUGGUGAGUUGGGGAUUGCACAGACAGUGGAAGUUUUGCAAAACCUACUUGGUGUCACACAUGGGUGUGAAAUUGUUUUUUGGACUCAUUUAUGCACUUAAACUGAACUACCUGAAGAACCUCAAGUGCACCUUUGAAAAAAUCCUAAUGGAACUGGACUUGAUACAACCAAGCAAUCACUGAAAGAUGCUUCAGUGAAUACCUGACAGACACGCUAAUACAUCCCCCUCAAAGUGGGUAAAUUUUUGUACAUUUAUAAGUGAACUUUUUAACAUUAAAGGAAUAUUGCAUUUUCAUUAAACAAAAAUCCUGAUA
This is a non-coding RNA of Paramisgurnus dabryanus, 587 nucleotides long. NCBI's taxonomy places the organism in Eukaryota, Metazoa, Chordata, Actinopteri, Cypriniformes, Cobitidae. The record is from RefSeq and is a predicted model, not a curated record.